UGAAUACGAGACGCUACGGCGUCGAAGCAGUCUAUGUCAUACUUCCAAGAAAAGCUUGCACUGUCAUAAACAAAUAAUGCCUGUACCAUAACCGACACAGGUGGGUAGGUAGAGUAUACUAAGGGGCGCGAGAUAACUCUCUCUAAGGAACUCGGCAAAAUGACUCCGUAACUUCGGGAGAAGGAGUGCCUUAUUUAUAAGGUUGCAAUAACAAGAUCCAAGCAACUGUUUAUCAAAAACACAGGUCUCCGCUAAGUCGUAAGACGAUGUAUGGGGGCUGACGCCUGCCCAGUGCCAGAAGGUUAAAGAAGUUGGUUAGCAUUAGCGAAGCUGAUAACUGAAGCCCUGGUGAACGGCGGCCGUAACGAUAACGGUCCUGAGGUAGCGAAAUUCCUUGUCGGGUAAGUUCCGACCCGCACGAAAGCCGUAAUGAUUUGGAUACUGUCUCGGAGAGGGGCUCGGUGAAAUAGACUUGUCUGUGAAGAUGCGGACUACCUGCACCUGGACAGAAAGACCCUAUGAAGCUUUACUGUAACCUGAAAUUGAAAUUGGACUUUAUUUGCGCAGUAUAGGUGGGAGGCGUUGAGAAUAUUCUUGCGGGAAUAUUGGAGCCAUCAGUGAGAUACCACUCUUGUAAUGUUAGAUUUCUAACUUUGAAUCAUUAUCUGGUCAAAGAACAGUUUCAGGCGGGCAGUUUGACUGGGGCGGUCGCCUCCUAAAUGGUAACGGAGGCGCACAAAGGUUUCCUCUGAACGGGUAGAAAUCGUAUCUAGAGUGUAAAGGCAUAAGGAAGCUUGACUGUGAGACCUACAAGUCGAGCAGGGACGAAAGUCGGUCUUAGUGAUCUGACGGUGCUGAGUGGAAAGGCCGUCACUCAACGGAUAAAAGUUACUCUAGGAUAACAGGCUGAUCUCCCCCAAGAGUUCACAUCGACGGGGAGGUUUGGCACCUCGAUGUCGGCUCAUCGCAUCCUGGGGCGGUAGUACGUCCCAAGGGUUGGGCUGUUCGCCCAUGAAAGCGGUACGCGAGCUGGGUUCAGAACGUCGUGAGACAGUUCGGUCCAUAUCCGGUGUAGGCGUUAGAAUAUUGAGAGGAGCCUUCUUUAGUACGAGAGGACCGAGAAGGACAUACCUCUGGUGUACCAGUUAUCGUGCCAACGGUAAACGCUGGGUAGCUAUGUAUGGAGAGGAUAACCGCUGAAAGCAUCUAAGUGGGAAGCCCACCUCAAGAUAAGUAUUCU
Molecule: ribosomal RNA, 1240 nt
Filed under: metagenome
Description: bacterial LSU rRNA
Rfam family: Bacterial large subunit ribosomal RNA
Source: RNAcentral